AGCGGCGGACGGGUGAGUAACGCGUGGGUAACCUGCCCUAUACACACGGAUAACAUACCGAAAGGUAUGCUAAUACGAGAUAAUAUAAGAGAUUCACAUGGAUUUCUUAUCAAAGCUGAGGCGGUAUAGGAUGGACCCGCGUCUGAUUAGCUAGUUGGUAAGGUAACGGCUUACCAAGGCGACGAUCAGUAGCCGACCUGAGAGGGUGAUCGGCCACAUUGGAUCUGAGACACGGUCCAAACUCCUACGGGAGGCAGCAGUGGGGAAUAUUGCACAAUGGGCGAAAGCCUGAUGCAGCAACGCCGCGUGAGUGAUGAAGGCCUUCGGGUCGUAAAACUCUGUCCUCUAGGAAGAUAAUGACGGUACUUGAGGAGGAAGCCCCGGCUAACUACGUGCCAGCAGCCGCGGUAAUACGUAGGGGGCUAGCGUUAUCCGGAUUUACUGGGCGUAAAGGGUGCGUAGGUGGUCUCUUAAGUCAGGAGUGAAAGGCUACGGCUUAACCGUAGUAAGCUCUUGAAACUGGGAGACUUGAGUGCAGGAGAGGAAAGUGGAAUUCCUAGUGUAGCGGUGAAAUGCGUAGAUAUUAGGAGGAACACCAGUAGCGAAGGCGGCUUUCUGGACUGUAACUGACACUGAGGCACGAAAGCGUGGGGAGCAAACAGGAUUAGAUACCCUGGUAGUCCACGCCGUAAACGAUGAGUACUAGGUGU
RNAcentral lists this ribosomal RNA (710 nucleotides) under uncultured bacterium. Its description in RNAcentral is "bacterial SSU rRNA". It matches the Rfam family "Bacterial small subunit ribosomal RNA", at positions 94 to 823 of the family's 1533-position model. The record is from RNAcentral.